AGCGAACGCUGGCGGCAGGCCUAACACAUGCAAGUCGAACGAACCUUUCGGGGUUAGUGGCGGACGGGUGAGUAACACGUGGGAACGUGCCUUUAGGUUCGGAAUAACUCAGGGAAACUUGUGCUAAUACCGAAUGUGCCCUUCGGGGGAAAGAUUUAUCGCCUUUAGAGCGGCCCGCGUCUGAUUAGCUAGUUGGUUGAGGUAAUGGCUCACCAAGGCGACGAUCAGUAGCUGGUCUGAGAGGAUGAUCAGCCACAUUGGGACUGAGACACGGCCCAAACUCCUACGGGAGGCAGCAGUGGGGAAUCUUGCGCAAUGGGCGAAAGCCUGACGCAGCCAUGCCGCGUGAAUGAUGAAGGUCUUAGGAUUGUAAAUUCUUUCACCGGGGACGAUAAUGACGGUACCCGGAGAAGAAGCCCCGGCUAACUUCGUG
This 433-nucleotide ribosomal RNA is filed under the name uncultured bacterium. RNAcentral's name for it is "partial 16S ribosomal RNA". It matches the Rfam family "Bacterial small subunit ribosomal RNA", at positions 29 to 507 of the family's 1533-position model. The record is from RNAcentral.